UGGGGAAUUUUGGACAAUGGGGGAAACCCUGAUCCAGCCAUCCCGCGUGUGCGAUGAAGGCCUUCGGGUUGUAAAGCACUUUUGGCAGGAAAGAAACGUCAUGGGUUAAUACCCCGUGAAACUGACGGUACCUGCAGAAUAAGCACCGGCUAACUACGUGCCAGCAGCCGCGGUAAAACGUAGGGUGCAAGCGUUAAUCGGAAUUACUGGGCGUAAAGCGUGCGCAGGCGGUUCGGAAAGAAAGAUGUGAAAUCCCAGGGCUCAACUUUGGAACUGCAUUUUUAACUACCGGGCUAGAGUGUGUAGAGGGAGGUGGAAUUCCGCGUGUAGCAGUGAAAUGCGUAGAUAUGCGGGGGAACACCGAUGGCGAAGGCAGCCUCCUGGGAUAACACUGACGCUCAUGCACGAAAGCGUGGGGAGCAAACAGG
Molecule: ribosomal RNA, 428 nt
Filed under: Acidobacteriota bacterium
Lineage: Bacteria; Pseudomonadati; Acidobacteriota
Description: Acidobacteria bacterium partial 16S ribosomal RNA
Rfam family: Bacterial small subunit ribosomal RNA
Source: RNAcentral